This is a long non-coding RNA of Apodemus sylvaticus (European woodmouse), 699 nucleotides long. RefSeq lists it as uncharacterized. Lineage: Eukaryota; Metazoa; Chordata; Mammalia; Rodentia; Muridae. The record is from RefSeq and is a predicted model, not a curated record. The transcript is spliced from 2 exons.
UUUAGCUGUCUGUGAGAGACAGGUCUCUUGCCCCUUUGACCACAUAAACUUCAAGAAAAAAAAAUGCAUUAAAGGUCAAGAUAUUGUAAUCCUGUCUCUCUGCCUGUGGCUGCCAUCAAAGCCUGUAGCCAGCUGGCAGGCACCCUUGAAGGUCUGACGCAUGAACUCUAUCUGCAGGUAAAUGCUAACAAUAUCACUGUCUUACUGGGAGCAGCUGACAAUCGUAAAGUCGGAGGAAAUCAUUAAAAUGAGUUAAGUGACCACAAAAAUAACACUGGAAGAAAUUUAUUUGAGGAGAUCCGAUACACAUCUUUAUUAAGCAGGAGGAAGAGCAUUAAUGAUGUGUGACUGACAAACAAGGUACAGACAGAAUCGAUCAUUCACUGAGGUGGAAUCCUGAGCAGCGUCUUUCAUUGUAAAUCAUAUUAAGAACAUGCUUAGCAAGUGAGCGUGCUUGUAUAAGCAUGAGGACCUGAGCAUGGGUUCUCCACAUCCUUGUAAAAAGCUGGGCAUGAGCAAAUAUAGCCCUAGCAGUGUGGGGGUGGGGGGUGGGAGGAGCCAUCCCUGGCUUGCCGCCUGCUAGCCUAGCUCCAUCCCUUACCAGAAUAAAGUGGAGAGCAAUAGAAAAGCGUGCCUGACUUUCUCUUCUGGCUCCUGCACACACGUGUGCACACACCACACACAUACACCAUAUACACA